RNAcentral lists this ribosomal RNA (336 nucleotides) under Triticum aestivum (bread wheat). RNAcentral's name for it is "partial small subunit ribosomal RNA". Lineage: Eukaryota; Viridiplantae; Streptophyta; Magnoliopsida; Poales; Poaceae. The record is from RNAcentral.
AUGAAAAUCCCGAGGAAAGUGGCUGAACAACUAAACUUGCCACCAGAAGGUGUAGCUGGCAUUUGCUUCGAAGCUGGAGAGCGCAUGAAUGUUGCAUACCGCACAGAUCGUGAUGGCCGCAUGGUUUUCAACAAGCAGUGGGGUGCCUUUGCAACCCAGAGCAACCUUCAAGAGGGCGACGAUGUUGUUUUCAAUUUCAAACCCAGCAACGAAGGGGGCGUAAACAUCAACACCCUGAAGGAACUUUCUUGUGCUCUUUUUAUGUGUCAAUCAACACAUCGCCUAAUUAGUAUGAGAGAUCUACACUUCUAUGUUCCUUUUUUAUCUAUCUUCUAA